Long non-coding RNA from Oryctolagus cuniculus (rabbit), 5796 nucleotides. RefSeq lists it as uncharacterized. The record is from RefSeq and is a predicted model, not a curated record. NCBI's taxonomy places the organism in Eukaryota, Metazoa, Chordata, Mammalia, Lagomorpha, Leporidae.
AGAUGAAUAAAGAAAGUUACUGUUCUUGUUGAAAUGAUAAUCACAUAAUAAAGUAUGCUUUAUUCAUGUUAAUAAGAAUUAACAAAAAACAGGACGCCAUGGGAUAUAUUUCAAAUGCUUAGCAGAAAUAUAAAUCCACAAACAAUGCCUGCCAUUGCCAUCACAUUGCCUUAGGACUUCACACCUCCUUCACUCUCCAUCACUUAUGUUUCCAUCAUUAUUUCUGUUUUGGUCAAUAAUUUUGACUGAAAAGAGGAAUGUUGAAGAAAUGAGAUGCAGUAAUGUCAGUCUCCUCUAGGGAACAACCCACCUCCUCUCCCUGGGUCAAAAGUUAUAUUUGUUGGGUUAGAGAAGGCUGGAAAUGAUGUUUACUUCAUGCAAACAUGAUAAUGGAAUUGGAAACUCACUAGUAAUUACUUUUGUUACUCAUUCAUGUUCAGAAGUUAUGAAGCCAGGCUCUUUGCAAGACCUUGCUCCUCAGUAGCAACAACAAUGUUUGUAUUUUAUUUCUGAACCAACUAUAUUGGAAUUCUAAAUUUUCCAACCUUCCCUUAAGCCAUAAGACAUGGGGAGAAAAACUACAAGAAUAUUUUCUUAACCAGUUCCAACAGCAUUUACCUAUGGGAUAUUAGCAUACAAAAUCACCAACAUAGAGCAGCUGGAUGUCAUCCAGCUACCAGUUUGGAAGCAAUGCCGAGAGCAAUUCACUUUUGUUAGUUCGGACAUGUGGAGUUGAUGGAUGAUGGCAGUACAAUUGAGCAGCUGGCCAUGUAGGAAACUGAAAUGAAGCUGGUCAAAAAACAGAAGAUCUGCCUUAAGAACACCCAGAAGCACAAUUUGCAACCCAGCUCUGGGUUUCUGGAAAACAGAAAGAGCAAAACAAAUUAAUUUUUGGAACAAUAAUCACAAAGAAGUCUGUGGGAGCCAAGUUACACACAGCUAAAUAUCAAACACAGGACAUUAUUAACUUAGAAAAGUGAUGUACGAUUUAUGCUUAACCAAGGAAACCUGACAAUAAUUCAACAGACUCCUCACACAGGUUCAAGGAUCCCAGGGACAGACAGGAAGAAAUGGAGCCGCAGAGGAGACCAGCAAGCAAUUCACAAUAGACUUUAUCUAGCUACAUUUCCUGUUUGCAAGAAAUAAUUUAUCUUCCUGAUGAGCAUUUCAUGCAAGCUUAUGUUUACAAGAAUAUUGGCAAAAAAUGGAUGAAAACUCUAAGUGAAGUGCUAUUUGAAGCUUAGCCAAAAGAGAAUUCACAGAACUCUAUCUUUCUUUAGUAGCCAGUAUUGAAGGACUCUGCAAUCUUCUAGGCUCAACGAAGUGCUUUUAAUCUAUUGUCGAGAAAAGUUAUUUCCUAUGUGUUAAAAAUCCUUCUGUACCCUCAGAAAUCCGAGGCAUCUGUUUGUGGAACAACCACAGCCAUUAAAGUCAGAAUUCUUUUCUGCCCUUUGGGAUAUUAGGCAACUCAUGAUAACUUGUAUCCUUUUUCUCAUUUGCAAUAUGAUUCAAUAAAAAGUUAAGUGAUGACAAAUGUUGGCAAGGGUGUGGAAAGAAGGGAAUCCUUUCCACUACUGGUGGGAAUGUAGAUUGCUGCAGCCAUCAUGGAAAAUGCAUGGAGAUUGCUAAAGAAAUUAAAAAUGGAACUACCAGGGGCAUGUAUAUAGCCUAGGAGCUAUAUAACUAUAAACUCCAGUAUUGCAAUGUCUAGAUUUGAUUCCCGGGUCUGGCUCCUGAUUCCAGCUUCCUUCCAAUGCAGAUCCUGUGAAGCAGUGAUGAUGGCUCAAGUAAUUGGGUUCCUGCAAUAUACCUAGGAAACCUGGAUUAUUGAGUUCCCAGUUCCAGUUUUAGCCUCAGCCCAACCCUGGUCACUGAAGGCUUUUGGAGAUUGAAUCACAGCUGGAAGCCGCACACCCCCCACUAAUCUAUUUUUUAUUUUAUCAUUAUAUUAUUUUAUUUUAUUAAACAUAUACAUCUCUCUCUCUCUAUAUAUAUAUAUACAUAUAUAUAUAUAUACAUAUUAUAUGACCUAGCAAUCCUUCUUUGUACAUGUUCAAAGGAAAUGAUCACCACAUUAUGAAGACAUCUGCACUCACCUUCUUUGUAACACAAUGAAUAACAAGCAAAGAUAAGGAAGCAGUGCAAGUUCUCUUUGGAAGAUGAAUGGAUAAUAAAAUUCUGCAGACAGUGGAAUCUUAUUUGGCUUCAAAAAAGGAGAUCCUGCUAUUUACCAUCACAUGGAUAAACAUGGAAGACAUCACUAGGCUACUAAGCAAAUAAGCCAGACACAGGAAGAAAACUAUUGCAUAAUGUCACUUAUAUGCACAAUCUUAAAAAAAGAAGGAAAUGACUUGAAUAGUUACUAUAUUGUAGCUUAAUUAAAAUAUUUUUAUAAAGAGAGAAAGGAGUUAGCUUUAGGAAGUAUUUAAAUUUCACACAAUAUUCUAAAUGUCAUGUAAAUAAUUUUGAUAUCUUUCUAAAAUAUAUAUUUUUCUUCUGAAAAAGAGAAAAAAUAUUGAGUGGAGUACAUGGUGAAGAAUAUAGAUUUAAUACUAGUGUAUAUUUUGUUUUUCUCUCUUCAUCUUGAGAAUCACAUAGGAUGGGGUUCACAUUCCAUCUGGAUCAUAGUAUUCUUGUUCUCAAUGGAAGUUCCUUAACAUUGAAUUUUGUAUUCCCUUUUGGAAGGGAAUAAUAUACUACCUAUAUCUCAUUGGUGGAAUAAUUUAUUGACAAAAUGUACAUGUACCUAGCAACAUUCCUGAUAGUGUGACCACUUAAGAUUUAUUCUUUAUAACCUCUAUUCAUAUGAAAUGCAAACUGUCCUUUGAUUUUGAGGACUAGUCACAAUUUUAACUUUUACUUAGAAAAUAUGACAAAGUAUGAGGUUCACAAUUAUUGGGUGUUCUCAAACUAAUGGAUAGACCAUGACAAAAUAGUACUAGUUCCAUAAGCAAUAUACUAAAACCAUGGCAAUAAUCCAAGACUGUACUUGAGAGAACAGUAAAACUGGCUUUGUGUCCUGUCUAUUGCCAAAAUAUUUAAAGUCAAUUCUAAUGUCAAAGUAGGAAAAUUUGGGCUUCAGUCCUAGCUUGGCCACUUCUGAGUUGUAUAAUCUGCAAUAAGGUACUGAUCUGCUCACAGCUUGUUUUCUAAUCUCUAAAUAGCAAUAGUGAUAAUAGACUUCACUUGGCUGUUUUUGUAAAAAGUAAGAUAAAGCACAUGAUUGAUAUAUAACAAACCAUAGGCAAUUAGUAAUGACUGUGCUUAACAAAACUAAGGAGCUAUAUGGGAUUGGCAAUGAUAUUGUCUUGGGUAGAUUAUAGUUUAUUUGAAUUUAAUCUGUCAGCAAAAGGCUAAUGGAUUGUACAAUCGAAACACUUAACAUUUUAGUUGUUCAGUCUUUGUUCUCUUCCAGCAAGUGGCUUCAGGUGUUCCAUCUCACCAAACCCUCUGCCUGGAGCAAUGUGGGCAGCCCUGACAGUGCCCUGGCUCACUACCAGCUUACCAGGAGGGGAACUGGCUUAAUUGCCUGAAUCCUGGCUUCACAAAGCAGCUUUCACACCUAAAGCUGGAGCAGCUCACAUCUGUGGCUGUCAGGCUUCUGCCUAGCCGAUGAAGAAAUCAGCUGUGCCCAGUCCCUCCUGGGAUGCCCAGGGGGUCUAAGCCUCAUACAUAAAGUCAAAACACACAAACUAAUUUCCAUAUAGAAUACAAAUAACAUAUUCAUUUAAUAAGAUAACUCCUGAAACUUGCUGCCUACAUUUCUUUAAGCUCCUGUGCAGGUAAUUACAAUUCUGCUUAGGAAAAAUCGAUGAAGUCAUUAGAUCAAAACCAAAUUCCUUUCAUUUUAUUUGCACAUGUGUCAUUUCUGUGCACAUUCACAGAGCUUUUCUUAAAUACACUCAGAACCGUUUUUCUUUUUUAUAUUGGGGUAAUUUAUGGUGUCACUGCAGGGUAUAUGCUGUGUGUGUGUGCGUACGCAUGUGCACACAAAUGCAGUAGAGAAAGACUGGAGAGAAGGAGGGAGGACUUAUUAGUGUGUAUAGAUACAACUGUAUUCUUCAUUUCUAGAUAUAAAAUGUUUAUUUUUAUCAUAAUGCCAUCAAAAGAAUCACGAGCAGCUGAUAAGAUGCAAGAAUUCACAGGACACUCUGGGGCAAAGUCUCAUGCUUGAUUUAACACCUGAGAGCACCAACAGGGUUCUAAUAAUGGCACCUUUGAUGGUGAAAUUUUAAUUACCAAGCUAUUGCUCAGUAUAGGAACUGCAUAAACAGGGGACAAUAUAUGUAUUCUUUGAUUUUGCAAACUUUCAUUACUACCAGUUAUUGUCAUUUUGUAGGGUUUUAGUUUAGCUAAGCUACAACUAUGUUUCCCCUGAAUUGCCCGCCUUGUAGGCUUCCUGGUUAUGGUUGUCCAUAGAAGUACUUCUACAAGAUACAGAACUUAACCAAAAUAGUGAGGAGGUUCUAGGCUCUCCGUGGUAUGGCAGAACCAUAAUGAAGUGAUCUCAUAAAACAGCAUAGGAUGAGAGUCAUGGAGACAGGAAUAAACACAAUUAGACAGGGAAAUUGGGAAAAAUUGAGUAAAUAAUGAAGCUAAGUUGAGUAAGAAAAAAGGAAAUGCUACUUUAAAUUCAGUGAAACCAAAUGCCUAAGUUUAUAAAUGAUAGAUACUUGAGGGGAAUUUGAUUGUAAAAUAAUAAUAAUAAUAUACAGUCAUUGUAUAAUUAGCAGUUGUUUGUCAUUUCUUUAGUUUUAAAAAUCAACCUCGGGAAGAAUUAAGAUUAGGAAGCACCAGGAGUUUAUUCCCCCAUCUAGUAAAUUGAAUAUGUCUAAUGUAACCAUUUUGGAAUCUGGAGUCUAGAAAGACUUGCAACUUCCAUAGAAAGACUUGAAUAAUAAUUUGGGGUUACUUCUUAUCAAAUGCAGCAUUUCACUUGAACAGCCAUUGUCUUGACUGUUGAGGAACACUUUAUUAUUUCACUUUAUAUAUUUUUUAUUCUUUUUUUUCUUAAUACCACUUGCUGAAUUCCUUACUUAACAUAGAAUUAAUUAUAGAUGUAUAAAGUCAAUUGAAAAUAGAUCCCAGUUAAAAUAAUAAGAGUGGGAAUGAGAAAGGGAGGAGAUGUACAGAUCAGUACACAUUCCCACAGACCUACCCCUAAGGAUGAAGCUAAAAAUCUGCCAUAGGUCUCCAAAUCCCAUUUACCUGGGUGAUACUAAUCCCAUUUUAUGUGAUAAAGUGAUCAUUUAAGCAUGGGAUUCAUCAUAUACAUAGGACCAUCAGUCAAAGGGAUCACAUAAAUAAGACCAAGUGCCUGGUAAUAACAAUAGAUAGAAUUACAAAGGAGAGAAAGUUCUAACAUGGGAAGCAGUCCACACAGCAGACUCAUAGAAUGACAAACAUCCUAAACAGCACUCUAACCUCAGAAUCAACCCCUAAGGCCUGACUGAAAACACCAUGAGAGCAUUUCAGGCAUGGAAAGCCAAGACAUAGUGGCAAAAAUGGUUCUACAUGAAGGAUCUCUGUGAGUGAGACCCCAGUGGAAAGAAGGAGCCAUCAAAGGAUGUACUUUCUUCUGAAGGGAGAAGAUAACUUCUACUUUGCAUACGGCCCUGUCUAAAAACUGACGUAGUUUGUAAACACAAAAGGCUUCCAUAGCCUUGGCGACUCAUGGAGCCUCUGGUUAUCACUGAUGUCAUAAAUAAGAUUGUCAACUGUUAAAUCAACAACAGGAAUCAUUGUGUACUUGCUCCCCGUGCUGGACCUCUGUCCUUAAUGAGUUGUACUAUGAGA